This is a long non-coding RNA of Ceratosolen solmsi marchali, 542 nucleotides long. RefSeq lists it as uncharacterized. Lineage: Eukaryota; Metazoa; Arthropoda; Insecta; Hymenoptera; Agaonidae. The record is from RefSeq and is a predicted model, not a curated record. The transcript is spliced from 3 exons.
CACUUGGGACUCACGUCGUUACUGCAAAAGUGCCCUCGAGUCCGGACAGUCCACCAGAACGGCCAUCGUCAUAUCCUGGGCCAUUAUCAUAGGGACACUUAUUAUAGUUAUCCAGAAACGAGCAUGAGCCAUCGCUUCAAGAUCGAGAAGACCGACGAUACGGACUAAUCCAAAGAUGUGCAUGAGGGUUGCACGAAGGUGUUGAGAGCUCGUUAAAGAAGACAGUCUCUCUGGCUUCAUUAAGCUUUAACGGUCAAGAAGAAAUUAAGCAAAUUUUAGGAAAACGUUGAAGCAAAUGAUAAUGUAACGCGCGCGGUAUUUUCAAAGAUGCUCGCGUGCGACUUUUCGACAUUUUUUAAAUGUACAGGCAGGAGCGAGAUCGUACAAAUUACGAGCGUACGUAUAAAAGUCGAGAAUUACCUACUUGCGCGAUAGGAGGGUGUAGAGGAUGGCGAAUGAACGAGGAGAAUAAGGAGCGGAAUAAGAAGCAGAGGAAUUAGAACGUAGAAGAAAAUAAAGAAGAAGAAUAAGAAUAAGAAUAA